GUUCUUAAGGCUGUUUACCAGAAGGGAAGGAUCUAGCUGUACGUCUUAAGCUCUUUGUUUUCCUGUGCCCUCAGGGGCUGAUUUGAAUCCCUUUCGAGUACUCCCUGGUCUGGUUUCGGGGAAGCAAUACGGACUUUCGGACUAGCAGAUGAAUUUCCAACGCGUACUCGUGAUACUCGUGGUGUUGUCAGUGUUGGCAGGAGUCGCAAUGACAGCGCCCUAUGAAGUCAAGCCGAGGGUGCGGUUCGGCUUCAGGAGUAGAUUCAACCGCAGGAAAUCUCUAGGCAUCUGGGCCCCGGAGAUCGACAACCGCUUCUGGCACGGGUACGAUAUAGACGGUUAUACUAGGAACGGAUGAAUGGAGAGGAUAUAUGCGACGCCAGAGACAAGGAUGCUGUGCUUUCAUCUGUGGCGUCUCGUUUCAUCUCAAGAGGGAUCUUUAACUCUGCUCAUCAUCAUCAUCAUUUCAACUCAUGAAUGCAUCGUGCAAAACCUAGGCUUGUUAGAUUUAAGGAGUAGAUUUAUCUAUUGUAUAGAAUGAAUGUGAUCGAUAAAAAUAAGUAAAUUGUUGUUAUUUGUAUUGCCUUUCAUUAAGUUCGGCGAAUUGAUAUGUAUUUUUUUCUGCUUGACUUUUCUUUGAGAAUGGCAUGAUUUUUCUUCAUGAUUAUUAGCUGUUACAUAUCUGUGACUGAUUCGAAAAAUUAUUUAUAUAUCAAUCUAUUUAUCAUAUUCAUCGUGUAUAUAUCAAUUCGCCUGUCUCUUCAUUAGUGCAAGUGGAAUUCACAGUUCCAAAUAACUAAUCCUAUUUCUCAUUUUCUUUUUCUAAUUCUUACUCUGAAGUCGACAUUUUCUAUUCUCUCAUUUUCUUUUUAUCAUUUCCUCUUGGCGAUUAUCAACAGAAAGCACACAAAGAAAAACAGAAAAAUAAUCAUCUUUCCCAUUUUGCCUUCAGGAUUUAUCAUUUCCAUUUAUCUUAUGCCACAUACAUGAUCAUCUUCCUUUAUUAAGUUGUGCUAAGUGCUAUGUAAGUCGCAUGUGCUGUUGAAUUUUAAGUAUAAGGCUAUUCUAUAUAGAACUGAGCUACCUCUUUGAAAUCAAAGCAUUUAUUUUCACACGUUUCUGUGCUUAUGCCUAUAUUGUACGUAUAUGAACUUAUUUAGAUAUGUACUGACACAUAUAUACAUGCUAUAUACUAUAUAUCCAGAAAAAAAUUAUCUGUAUGAAGAUUUUCUAACCA
Molecule: long non-coding RNA, 1237 nt
Filed under: Penaeus japonicus
Lineage: Eukaryota; Metazoa; Arthropoda; Malacostraca; Decapoda; Penaeidae
Description: uncharacterized LOC122267786
Source: RNAcentral